Molecule: ribosomal RNA, 201 nt
Filed under: uncultured bacterium
Lineage: Bacteria
Description: partial 16S ribosomal RNA
Rfam family: Bacterial small subunit ribosomal RNA
Source: RNAcentral
UACGUAGGGUGCAAGCGUUAAUCGGAAUUACUGGGCGUAAAGCGUGCGCAGGCGGUUUUGUAAGUCUGACGUGAAAUCCCUGGGCUCAACCUGGGAAUUGCGUUGGAGACUGCAAGGCUAGAAUCUGGCAGAGGGGGGUAGAAUUCCACGUGUAGCAGUGAAAUGCGUAGAGAUGUGGAGGAACACCGAUGGCGAAGGCAG